UUCUUCUCCAGGAUCCCGCGCACAUCGUAAAGCACCUGCAACCGACAUGAAGACAUAAAAAUGAACGUUUGAGGACUCCAGGGAAGGAAUAAAGCAGGGCUGCGGCUUGUGGUUCGGGUGAUGGCCGUCUGGAUGUGGAAAUGAUGUUGGAUGUGGAGAUCCUGCAGUCCUCGGGCCCUACCCUGUUCCUUCCCGAAGCCCUGACCUGACCAAAGACCUGCGGCUGACUGUGGACGGAUUUCCUCCAGACACAAAGACCACCCUGGACUGUGAAACAGAUAAGCUCGGGCCAAUGACUUUACACAAGGAGCCCAUUCCUGUCAUUCUUGUUUUAUUACAAAAGGUGUUGAUUCCAACGCUGAGCCUUUGAGAUGAAACACGUGUGCAAACAACAAACCUUCUCAUAUUCACACUGGGCCACUAUCCUAAAUUAUACUGCAACCAUGUAAAUUCUAAAUUAAAUACAAGGUGAGGCUUCAAAUGUAUAUUAUAUAAGUUAAAGUGUUGGCUUUAGUUCCUGACUUUAAGGGUUUGUAAAACCAUGUGAGAGCUUCCAUUAAACCAAAUGAAAAUACCUUAUAGUCGCAGACACACUGACAAUUUGAAUUUUUCGAUGG
Molecule: long non-coding RNA, 617 nt
Organism: Pseudoliparis swirei
Lineage: Eukaryota; Metazoa; Chordata; Actinopteri; Perciformes; Liparidae
Exons: 3
Source: RefSeq, a predicted model, not a curated record